RNAcentral lists this ribosomal RNA (1153 nucleotides) under Epicharis umbraculata. RNAcentral describes it as "eukaryotic LSU rRNA". It matches the Rfam family "Eukaryotic large subunit ribosomal RNA", at positions 400 to 1255 of the family's 3401-position model. The record is from RNAcentral. Lineage: Eukaryota; Metazoa; Arthropoda; Insecta; Hymenoptera; Apidae.
UGAAACCGUUCAGGGGUAAACCUGAGAAACCCAAAAGAUCGAAUGGAGAGAUUCAUCGUCAACGGCACUGGCUCCCGUUGGUGCGCGAUGCCCCGAAUGGGACCAUUUGGUUCCACGGCGAGGUCACACCACCUUCGGCUUGAAUGUUCCGGUGCCGUAGUCGUGCACUUCUCCCCUAGUAGAACGUCGCGACCCGUUGUGUGUCGGUCUACGGCCCGAGCGGGCGCCUGUCGCGUCGCUUCGCGCGUACGCGGCAGACCCUCGGUUGCCUGGCCGGCUGCACGACGGUACUCCCACGGUAUCGGGCCGCAACCAAUCCAUUCUCGAAUGUCUGUGCGUCAGGCCCGCCGCAAGCUCGGUCAGUUUUACCCGGAGGUGCGGACCUAGUGCCGUCCCCGGGCCUGGCCAGCUGUUAGCAGGCGGUGUCCUCGGACUGGCCAAGCUUUGAAUUACCGGUCGGCGACGCUAUUGCUUUGGGUACUCUCAGGACCCGUCUUGAAACACGGACCAAGGAGUCUAACAUGUGCGCGAGUCAUUGGGAUGUAUAAACCUAAAGGCGCAAUGAAAGUGAAGGUCGGCCUUUGCGUCGAUCGAGGGAGGAUGGGCCGCGUUACGAUACGGCCCCGCACUCCCGGGGCGUCUCGUUCUCAUUGCGAGAAGAGGCGCACCCAGAGCGUACACGUUGGGACCCGAAAGAUGGUGAACUAUGCCUGGUCAGGACGAAGUCAGGGGAAACCCUGAUGGAGGUCCGUAGCGAUUCUGACGUGCAAAUCGAUCGUCGGAACUGGGUAUAGGGGCGAAAGACUAAUCGAACCAUCUAGUAGCUGGUUCCCUCCGAAGUUUCCCUCAGGAUAGCUGGCACUCGCUUGUUCCUUUCGAACGCGUGCGAGUCUCAUCUGGUAAAGCGAAUGAUUAGAGGCCUUGGGGCCGAAACGACCUCAACCUAUUCUCAAACUUUAAAUGGGUGAGAUCUCUGGCUUGCUUGGAUCAUGAAGCCACGAGAUUUUUUGGAUCAGAGUGCCAAGUGGGCCAUUUUUGGUAAGCAGAACUGGCGCUGUGGGAUGAACCAAACGCAGAGUUAAGGCGCCUAAGUCGACGCUUAUGGGAUACCAUGAAAGGCGUUGGUUGCUUAAGACAGCAGGACGGUGGCCAU